AUAGAUACCCGGGUAGUCCAUGCCGUAAACGUUGGGCACUAGGUGUGGGGGACAUUCCACGUUUUCCGCGCCGUAGCUAACGCAUUAAGUGCCCCGCCUGGGGAGUACGGCCGCAAGGCUAAAACUCAAAGGAAUUGACUGGGGGCCCGCACAAGCGGCGGAGCAUGCGGAUUAAUUCGAUGCAACGCGAAGAACCUUACCAAGGCUUGACAUGAACCGGAAACGCCUGGAAACAGGUGCCCCACUUGUGGUCGGUUUACAGGUGGUGCAUGGAUGUCGUCAGCUCGUGUCGUGAGAUGUUGGGUUAAGUCCCGCAACGAGCGCAACCCUCGUUCUAUGUUGCCAGCACGUGAUGGUGGGGACUCAUAGGAGACUGCCGGGGUCAACUCGGGAGGAAGGUGGGGACGACGUCAAAUCAUCAUGCCCCUUAUGUCUUGGGCUUCACGCAUGCUACAAUGGCCGGUACAAAGGGUUGCGAUACUGUGAGGUGGAGCUAAUCCCAAAAAAGCCGGUCUCAGUUCGGAUUGGGGUCUGCAACUCGACCCC
RNAcentral lists this ribosomal RNA (546 nucleotides) under uncultured bacterium. RNAcentral's name for it is "bacterial SSU rRNA". It matches the Rfam family "Bacterial small subunit ribosomal RNA", at positions 778 to 1319 of the family's 1533-position model. The record is from RNAcentral.